GCCGGUGUGAUGGAAUGGUAGACGUGAAGCACUCAAAAUGCUUUGCCCAUUGGGCGUGCCGGUUCGAGUCCGGCCACCGGCACCA
RNAcentral lists this transfer RNA (85 nucleotides) under Oscillospiraceae bacterium. Its description in RNAcentral is "tRNA-Leu". It matches the Rfam family "tRNA". From Rfam's summary of the family: Transfer RNA (tRNA) molecules are approximately 80 nucleotides in length. Their secondary structure includes four short double-helical elements and three loops (D, anti-codon, and T loops). Further hydrogen bonds mediate the characteristic L-shaped molecular structure. tRNAs have two regions of fundamental functional importance: the anti-codon, which is responsible for specific mRNA codon recognition, and the 3' end, to which the tRNAs corresponding amino acid is attached (by aminoacyl-tRNA synthetases). tRNAs cope with the degeneracy of the genetic code in two manners: having more than one tRNA (with a specific anti-codon) for a particular amino acid; and 'wobble' base-pairing, i.e. permitting non-standard base-pairing at the 3rd anti-codon position. Lineage: Bacteria; Bacillati; Bacillota; Clostridia; Eubacteriales; Oscillospiraceae. The record is from RNAcentral.